GAUGAACGCUGGCGGCGUGCCUAAUACAUGCAAGUCGAGCGAACAGACGAGGAGCUUGCUCCUCUGACGUUAGCGGCGGACGGGUGAGUAACACGUGGAUAACCUACCUAUAAGACUGGGAUAACUUCGGGAAACCGGAGCUAAUACCGGAUAAUAUAUUGAACCGCAUGGUUCAAUAGUGAAAGACGGUUUUGCUGUCACUUAUAGAUGGAUCCGCGCCGCAUUAGCUAGUUGGUAAGGUAACGGCUUACCAAGGCAACGAUGCGUAGCCGACCUGAGAGGGUGAUCGGCCACACUGGAACUGAGACACGGUCCAGACUCCUACGGGAGGCAGCAGUAGGGAAUCUUCCGCAAUGGGCGAAAGCUUGACGGAGCAACGCCGCGUGAGUGAUGAAGGUCUUCGGAUCGUAAAACUCUGUUAUUAGGGAAGAACAAAUGUGUAAGUAACUAUGCACGUCUUGACGGUACCUAAUCAGAAAGCCACGGCAAACUACGUG
This 497-nucleotide ribosomal RNA is filed under the name uncultured bacterium. Its description in RNAcentral is "partial 16S ribosomal RNA". It matches the Rfam family "Bacterial small subunit ribosomal RNA", at positions 28 to 507 of the family's 1533-position model. The record is from RNAcentral.